AUCUAAACCUAUUAGGGGCUUACCUUUAAGUUACUUAUUUUGUCAAACACGUUUCCAAAAUUACUUGUUUGACUAGCAGAAGUGGUAAUUUCUAAAAAAGUAAUUUUUAAGCACAACUAAAUAUUCUUUUCAAUGAUCACUGACAUUGUACUUGUUUCUGCUAAUGAACAAAGGAGGAUAGCGAGGAAUGGAGUCCAAUGCGUAGGGCGUAUGGAACGGUAUUCGACAUUUCAAAUCCACCCAUCGGAUCUCUUCGCGUUAGAAUUUAUUUUCAAAUCCACCCAUCGGAUCUCUUCACGUUAGAAUUAACUAUGCCAUCCCGUAUGAAGUUAAUUUGGUACAAUUAACCCGUGCCAUUCCUACGGAUUGGAAGGCUGGAGUUGCAUAUGACACUGCAUCUCAACUUAAUUAAGCUCCAAACUACCCGUUCCACCUACUUUUUACCUAUAUAUAUGUAUAGUAUAAAAAAAGGUUGAACCCCAACCUUGAGGGCUCUCACCGCCCCGUCCCCAGAGCUUUGUGAGAUAUAUAUGUAAAGUAUGUAUAUGUGCGUGUGUGUGUGUGUGUGUAACAAGUUAAAAAUAAAUAAGUGGAACUUGUGUUCAGUUGUGAUAUAAAUAAAUUUUCUGUAAUAUUUAGUUAUUUAUGCUACCCUGGUACAAACUUAGGCCCCGUUUGAUAUACAUUAAUGUAAAAAUGAGAAUGAAAAAUAUAGCCGUAUGGGCCCUACACAAGAGAUGGAACGUCAAAUAUGGUGGUUUGAUGUGAUGGAUAACUAUCAUAUUUUUUAUUUUAAUGGGUAAAUAAUGGGAAACAAACAGGGGCUUAAUAUUUUUUAGUUAAGUUUAUGGGACAUUGAUCCCGGUUUAUUAAUGGGUUUUAAGAGUCAAGUUUGUUGCAUGUAAGAACCUCUUCAAUAGUCUUUUUUAUUUAAUUAUAGAAGCAUCUCGUAUAUAAUAGAAAAUAUUUUGAAAUUUCAACAGUAAGACUUUCGAUACACUCAAACAAGCUCUUUAUUUUACUUUUUCAAAAUAUAUUUAUUUUUCCCCCACAUUUUCAAUUAACAUAUAUUUUUAUAGAUGUCAAUUGCCAAUAAAUUCAAAGAGAAUUUGAAUAAUCCAAGAAAUGAAUAAUCGAAAUUUGCAAUUUAUUAAAUGCAAUGUGAACUUUGGAUUCAUAAUGCUUAUGACAUAACGUGGGUCUUUAUGGCUGAAGCGAUGGAGGACAAUGCUCAAACUUUAUGUAAAUGGCGAUUCUACUUAUGGAGUCAUGUGAGAAAUGAUUAAAAUGGUGAUUGAGUGCAAACUUACUUUUACCCACAUAAGAUAGCAUACGGGGUCAUAGACCUAUUGGUGCCUAGGACACGACAUUGUGAUGUGAUAGAACUUGACCAAUAAGCUAUUGGAUGAAGUCAUGCGUCAAGCAUCCAGGAAGCCUUCAUUCAUUUCUCUCAUUUAUAAAUAUUCAAACUUCCCUCUCACAAAAUACGAAUCCGAAUCUAAAUUAUAUUCUCUCCUCUACAUGUCGUUUCCAUACCUAAUACACUUUAAUCUCAUUAUUCUGACUGACUUGAGCAUCAAAGUACGUAUGAUCGUGACCUCUCAUAUCCCUUUGUGUUUUGAGAGUAUUCUUGCAUGUCUGCAUGCGCUUCAAGUGCCCAUGUAACAUACGCUUGGAGAGAAGUAGAGGCAGGAUCUGUUGAUGCCAACAUUUAUGUUUGAAAGGUUUCAAUGCAAGUGUUUUAGUGAAAUUUGAAAUUAAUAUAUUAAUUUUUUCACUUGUUUGAAAGCUAUUAUUUUUGUGUCGCUAAAUCAAUGAUUUGAAACCAAAUCAAACCACAAAAUAUGAUUUGGUUUGAUUUUGCUGACCUCAAAAUUUGGCCUGAUAAUAGAAUUCAGGCCAUAUCCUUUUCCAUAUAGGCAUGACAUGCACAUUGGAAAAGAACCAUUAAGGUGUAAAGGAGCCGUCCUAAAAAAAAAACUUGACAACCUUUUCAAUUCGACGGUCAAAUCAACUAUCAAAACAAGUCAUGGAAUGAGUGCAAGAGAAAUGUGUAAGAUGGGAUUUGGCAAAUGUUUAGAUGAACAUGCCUUCAAGUCCAGAUGCGCGCACACAGAGAGAGAGGGGAGAGAGAGAGAGAGAGAGAGAGAGGGCCAAAUGGGUUAGGGAUCGGGCUCAAGCCCGAGAAAAGGUUACUUAGGUUUACUCGGCUGUAUCCAAUUAACAUUGUUGAGGCCUAGUCAACUAAUGUUAACCUCUCUUUGUCACGUGCAUGUCAUGUAAUUUAUUGAUAUGCCAAUAGUUUACCAUAUCUGAGGUGUACAUUUAGGUGUGGGUCAAAAAUGCGAGUUAUCUUCAAUUAGACGAUGACUUACCAAUUGCCUUAUGAAUAUGAGUAGAUCCCAAAUAAGUGAGGAUUUACGAAUUGCCUCUAAUAUACGAGCCCAUCCCUAACAAGUAUGAGCUUACGAAUGGUCUUAGAAAUAUAGUCGACUUCAAAUUGAUGAGGGCUUAUAAAUUACCUUGAAUACAUUCCAAGAUGCAACAAAAUUUCGACAACAUCUAUUUGUAAUGUGGACUAAACCAACCUGAAAUACAACACAAUAUCUUCACUGCACAUAUACAAAAUAAAUAGGGCCCUGUCUACUUCUUCAAAUUCUCAUGACGAAAAGUGAAAUAAUAACAGAUCAAACUUUUUUAAACUGUAAUAUGUGGAGAGCCCA
RNAcentral lists this long non-coding RNA (2723 nucleotides) under Olea europaea (common olive). RNAcentral's name for it is "long non-coding RNA (OEUR_LNC009601)". The record is from RNAcentral. Lineage: Eukaryota; Viridiplantae; Streptophyta; Magnoliopsida; Lamiales; Oleaceae.